This is a long non-coding RNA of Haliotis rubra (blacklip abalone), 494 nucleotides long. RefSeq lists it as uncharacterized. Lineage: Eukaryota; Metazoa; Mollusca; Gastropoda; Lepetellida; Haliotidae. The record is from RefSeq and is a predicted model, not a curated record. The transcript is spliced from 3 exons.
AAUUGCGGUCAGUUUUAUUUACUGUAUGGAUGCGCUUUAAACAACAUCAAACUUAAACAUCUUUCACUAUUCUAUCCAAUGAAACCUGUCACAUGUGUUUGUCUCUUCCGUUGUUUACAUACGGUCCUCGCUGGCGCACAUGUAUUUUCGGCGCGCACCUACAAUGACAGUCACUUUGAGUAAUACGCGAGAUGCAACCAGGGUGUACAAGUCGAUAAAUUCAGUCCCACACCAUGUUAUCUGAGAGGGUGUAAAAUAGCGACGACCGAGAUAACGCAGAAUAUUAAUCAAAGACGCUUAAACUGACGCGUUUUUACGAUUUGAGGAGCAUAAUGUCGACAUGUACAGUGUGCAGUCUCACUGUCAAUUCCCCGGAACAGCUGCAGCAGCAUAUGAAAGGAAAAGCACACAAGAAGAAGAUGAUGGCUGCAGGACUGCCUGUGGAGGGACUGACGAGCACACCAGGAGUAGGUGCAGUUUCACAGGAACAAGAG